UUUUUUGUUGUUGUUGUGUCCCUGACAGGUUUUGGUAUCAAGAUGAUGCUGGCAUCAUAGAAUGAAUUGGGGAGAAGACUCUCCUCAUCCGUUUUUUUGGCAAGAGUUUCUGUAGGAACGGUAGCAGCUCUUCUUUGUACAUCUGGUUGAAUUAAGCUGUGAAUCCAAGAAGUCCUGGGCUUUUUUGUUGUUGGUAAAGACCAAAUGCUAUUUUAAAAAAAAAUUCCCGGGAGCGGACUCAAGAUGGCGCUGUGAGAACAACCCAGGAUUGGAGCCCGCGUUGAAUUCGCAAACGGUGAGUCAGUGCUGCAUUUCCAGACUGAUCUUUGUUGCCCACAGAACGGGGAAACUCCCAAGUAUAAAAAGACACGGGACGCCAGGCAGUAGGUCUGCCUGGCGAAGCCGGCAGCCGGGGCGGCGGCGGCCGGCCCUACCCAGCAAUCCCCACAGGGCACGCUUGUCCGGGUGCCUUGUUGAACCGGCAACCUGAGACUUGAGAGGGCUGGACUUGAGACUGAACGAGACUUGCACAGUAGCCCAGCCCAGGGGAUUGCAGGGACAGAUCGUUUGGGAUACCCAGUGGGACGAACAAAACCGCGAUUUCAAACUAUCCCGGGCAGACGGUCCGAGACGCUCUGUGGGGGAGGGGCGUCCACCACUACCGAGGCAACCCGCCCCAACUGAGAUACACGCCCACUGCUGACGCAGCCAGCCGUUGCUGAGGCAACACGCUACAACGAAGAGACUCCGCCGCAGGGCGUGGCGGAGACCACAGCAGAGCCGGCAGGAACAGCGCGAAUCACACAACAGCAGGGCGGAGCCUCGGCAGCCAAACAGUGGCUAGUCUGCCUUCGAGCUGGGCAGGACACCUGAUCGGACAUCCAAAAAUAAAGCCCAAACCCCUCAACACAGAGCAUUUGAGAAAAAAAAAAGGGUUGUUUAAUGAGCUGUGUUGCAGCAGAAUCAAACAUAGCAGCCUAACAGCCCUGAAUGAACAACAGAGUACACAGCU
Molecule: long non-coding RNA, 1012 nt
Filed under: Callithrix jacchus (white-tufted-ear marmoset)
Lineage: Eukaryota; Metazoa; Chordata; Mammalia; Primates; Cebidae
Description: lncRNA (ENSCJAG00000068357.2)
Source: RNAcentral